RNAcentral lists this ribosomal RNA (253 nucleotides) under uncultured bacterium. RNAcentral describes it as "partial 16S ribosomal RNA". It matches the Rfam family "Bacterial small subunit ribosomal RNA", at positions 524 to 776 of the family's 1533-position model. The record is from RNAcentral.
UACGUAGGGGGCAAGCGUUGUCCGGAUUUAUUGGGCGUAAAGAGCGUGUAGGCGGCCAUACAGGUCCGUUGUGAAAACUCGAGGCUCAACCUCGAGACGUCGAUGGAAACCGUAUGGCUAGAGUCCGGAAGAGGAGAGUGGAAUUCCCGGUGUAGCGGUGAAAUGCGCAGAUAUCGGGAAGAACACCCGUGGCGAAGGCGGCUCUCUGGGACGGUACUGACGCUGAGACGCGAAAGCGUGGGGAGCGAACAGG